UGUGAGCUAUGACCUUCUGUGGUGCUUUCGAGCAGCAGCUGCCUCCAUCAGCCAUCAGGUUUGUUCCUGUGUUUUAGUAGAUGGCCUAGACUGUUAAUAUUAGAGGAUCUAAAAUAAAUCAACAUAUUAUCCUAAGGAUACAAAACGUAAGAGCUAUUUGUGGCUAGGAGCCCUUGACAGAUAGUUUGGCUGAGGCAGAUGAUUGCCCGCCUCUCGGAUCUGGCUCCCAUUGCUGUGCCUGCAGGCAGUGUGGGUUAUAGUUGUAUAUUGAUGUCAGGGUUACUACUGAGUGGCUAGCAAUGACAGAUGUCUAUAAUUAGAGGCAAUGCUGCCAGUAUUUCAGAGGAGCCGGCCUAUGUUGAACAAUUAUCUUAUUUCUGGCUUGCCAAGGAGGGUUGUUCAAAUUGCUGGUAUUAGCUGUGGUGGCUGUAACACUUCUCCUUAUGCCCUGGGAUAAAUGUGCAAAAACACUGUCAUGUACAACCCUGGUGCAAAACCUCUUCAAAAGAUGUGAUCCUGCUAAAUUUCAUCUGCUUAAGGCUUGAUCUGGAGAUGCAUAACACCAGCUGCAGUGCUGUUACUCAGUACAGAGCAAUAGUUUUGGAUACAGAGAUUUCAGAGCUGUACUCUGAUUUUUAGUCCUUGUUUCUAAGUGCCAAAGUGAUGUUGAUUCUUGAGCGUUGGUGUUUAUUGCACAUAGGUGUGCUGAGUUGGCCACUCAUAUAGAUACAAUUCAAUGUCUGAAUAAAAUUUAGCUGCACACUUGUAAUAGUUACAGGGGCAAGUCAGAGUGUGGGUUACUGCUGUUCAAGUACCUGUAAUUCUGGAUCUUUUGGAGUGUUCUGACUGGCACAAAUGUACACUUGGAACUGUAGAGUAGUGCUUCAUUUCAAUCACCAAAGAUUCUAAACCAGCAUUUUGGCUUAUUGUUAAGCAAAUCCUUGACUGUAUACUUUGCUUGUAUUUCUGCAGUGCAGUGUAUAGCUCUGAUGGAAAGUGCACCCCAGAACUAUGCUUCAAAAGCUAAGAAUCUUCUGGAAGAUACUAAAAAAAAAAUGUGUCCCAGGCUGCAUCAGUAAUAAGAGCAGUUAGUUCAUAGUAGGUCUCCUGUAUAAGUUCUGCAGAAUUGUACAUCUUUCAAGAUUUCCAGAAAACAUGGAUUCAGAAAUGGAGAAAUAUAUAAAUAAGUAAAUAAAAGCUGA
Molecule: long non-coding RNA, 1202 nt
Organism: Cyanistes caeruleus (blue tit)
Lineage: Eukaryota; Metazoa; Chordata; Aves; Passeriformes; Paridae
Source: RefSeq, a predicted model, not a curated record